GACGAACGCUGGCGGCGUGCCUAAUACAUGCAAGUCGAACGAAGAGCGACGGAAGUUUGCCCCUAUCAAUCAUCGUGGCAAGGGGGAGUGAAACGUGGAAAAAAUCUGUCUUAGAGAGGGGGAACAUAGGGGGAAACGAGCUAUAAUAGCAUAAAAGAUCUAAUCACAGCAUUGAGGAUGGAUGGAAGCUGUUGCCUACAUGUAAGCUAUUACCGCAGGAGGUGAUUGAGUUUGAUAAGCUAGUUGGGGGGGUAACGGCCCACCAUGGCGAUGAUAAGUAGCCGGGCUGAGAGGGUGAGCGGCCACACUGGGAAUGAGACACGGCCCAGACUCCUACGGGAGGCAGCAGUGGGGAAUCUUCCGCAAUGGACGAAAGUCUGACGGAGCAACGCCGCGUGAGUGAUGACGGCCUUCGGGUUGGAAAACUCUGUUAGUCGAGAAGAAAGGCCUUGUGGCGAAAAGUGUGAACGAUUGACGGUAACGGAAUAGAAAGGCACGGCUAACUACGUG
Molecule: ribosomal RNA, 510 nt
Filed under: uncultured bacterium
Lineage: Bacteria
Description: partial 16S ribosomal RNA
Rfam family: Bacterial small subunit ribosomal RNA
Source: RNAcentral